Molecule: transfer-messenger RNA, 270 nt
Filed under: Citrobacter sp.
Lineage: Bacteria; Pseudomonadati; Pseudomonadota; Gammaproteobacteria; Enterobacterales; Enterobacteriaceae
Rfam family: transfer-messenger RNA
About the family: Bacterial tmRNA, also known as 10Sa RNA or SsrA, is named for its dual tRNA and mRNA-like properties. Its role is to liberate the mRNA from a stalled ribosome.
Source: RNAcentral
GGGGCUGAUUCUGGAUUCGACGGGAUUCGCGAAACCCAAGGUGCAUGCCGAGGGGCGGUUGGCCUCGUAAAAAGGGGAUCAAAGAGAGGUCAAACCCAAAAGAGAUCGCGUGGAUGCCCUGCCUGGGGUUGAAGCGUUAAAUCUAAUCAGGCUAGUCUGGUAGUGGCGUGUCUGUCCGCAGGUGCCAGGCGAAUGUAAAGACUGACUAAGCAUGUAGUACCGAGGAUGUAGGAAUUUCGGACGCGGGUUCAACUCCCGCCAGCUCCACCA